This 373-nucleotide transfer-messenger RNA is filed under the name Paraflavisolibacter caeni. It matches the Rfam family "transfer-messenger RNA". Rfam says of the family: Bacterial tmRNA, also known as 10Sa RNA or SsrA, is named for its dual tRNA and mRNA-like properties. Its role is to liberate the mRNA from a stalled ribosome. Lineage: Bacteria; Pseudomonadati; Bacteroidota; Chitinophagia; Chitinophagales; Chitinophagaceae. The record is from Rfam by way of RNAcentral.
GGGGGUGUUUGGUUUUGACAGCAUAGAUCUUUGAAAGUGUAAGCAUGCCGAGCGUUGGAUAAUUAGCUCGUAAAUCUGAAUAUUCAAAAUUCAAAUGGCGAAUCUAACUACGCCAUGGCUGCCUAAUUAGUAAUUAGCGCAUCCAUUAUGGCCGAGACUUUCCUUUAGCCUUUCGGGGUGUCUCCGCUUAAUCAAAUCUGCAAAGGCUGCGGCAACUGAAGGCUGUGACUGUUGCUUAAGUACCAUCCAGCUAAGGAAAUAAUUGGUUCGUUCUCUUCCGGUUAUUUUCCCGACAAAUAAUUGGGAAAUAAGCAUGUAGAAAGCUUUCGGCGGUUAUGUUUGGACACCGGUUCGACUCCGGUCACCUCCACAA